RNAcentral lists this non-coding RNA (102 nucleotides) under Chlorocebus sabaeus (green monkey). The record is from RNAcentral. Lineage: Eukaryota; Metazoa; Chordata; Mammalia; Primates; Cercopithecidae.
AGUCUGGUCUGAGUGCAGGGGUGUUUACAACUACUGAUCACAAGCAGUUCCAGAUUUCUUUGUUCCUUCUCCACUCUCACUGUUUCACUUUUCUAUCUUUAA